RNAcentral lists this long non-coding RNA (3346 nucleotides) under Sus scrofa (pig). Its description in RNAcentral is "lncRNA (ENSSSCG00000061963.1)". Lineage: Eukaryota; Metazoa; Chordata; Mammalia; Artiodactyla; Suidae. The record is from RNAcentral.
AAAAAAAAAAAAAAGUCAAGAACAUAGGACCGAAAAAAUCAGCCAGAGUAAAGUCAGCUGCUUCAACAAUGUCAAAGUCUUAGGGGGAGGAAAAAUAAUUAUCCCUCUAAGUUCUUGGCUGGGUUCCUAUACAGAAGGCAAAUUAAUAAGAGAAAAAUUUUAAAUAAGUUUAAAUGAGAGAUAAGGGAAAAAUUAUAAUUCACAGAUGUAGCUUAGAAUUCUGGCUUAAGUACAUUUCAGCUAAAGACAAGGGAAAGUGUGUGUGGGAGACUAGUUAUGCAAAAGUAACCAUGAAAAGUAUAGUAAGAAGAACAAGGUUUGGGGUUCUUGCCAUGGUACAAUGGAUUAAGAUACUGACUGCUCAGGUUGCUGCAGAGGCAAGGGUUCAAUCCUCAGCCUAGCACAGUGGGUUGAAAAUGAUCCAGUGUUUAAAAGGAUCACAUUGCUGCAGCUGUGGCUAGGAUUCAAUCUCUGGCCUGGGAACAUCCAUAUGCUGUGGGUACAUCCAUAAAAUAAAAUAAAAUUAAAAAAAAAAAAAAAAAGAGGAGCAAGGUUUCUUAUACAGAUUCAAGUCUUUAAAUUGCUGGAGUUCCCGUCGUGGCGCAGUGGUUAACGAAUCUGACUAGGAACCAUGAGGUUGCGGGUUCGGUCCCUGCCCUUGCUCAGUGGGUUAACGAUCCGGCGUUGCCAUGAGCUGUGGUGUAGGUUGCAGAUGCGGCUCGGAUCCAGCGUUGCUGUGGCUCUGGCGUAGGCCAGUGGCUACAGCUCCGAUUCAACCCCUAGCCUGGGAACCUCCACAUGCCGCCGGAGCGGCCCAAAGAAAUAGCAAAAAGACAAAAAAUAAAUAAAUAAAUUGCUGCCUUCUCCUUUUCACUAUUGAAUAUGUUAGCUGUGGAUUUUUACAUGUGGCCUUUAUUAUGUUGAGGUGGUUUUCCUCUGUGUCCAAUUUUUUUGGAGCUUUUUAAAUCAUAAGUGGACAUUGAAUUUUAUCAAAAGCUUUUUCUGCAUCUAUUGGCAUGAUCAUAUGGUUUUUAUACCUCCAUUUAUUAAUGUGAUGUAUCAAACUGAUUGACUUGCAAAUAAUGAAGAAUGCUUACAUCCCUGGGAUAAAUCAUGAUAUAUGAUCCUUUAAUGAAUUGUUGGAAUCAGUUUGCUAGUAUUUUGUUGAGGACUUUGCAUUUUAUGUUUAUCAGUGAUAGUGGCCUGUAUGUGGUAUUCCUUUCUGUGGUAUUUUUGUCUGAUUUUGCUAUCAAGGUGAUGGUGGCCUGAUAGAAUUGAGUUCAAAAGCAUUCCUACCUCUGAAAUUCUUUGGAAUAGUUUAAGAAGUAUAGGUGUUAGCUUGUCUGUAAAUGUUUGAUAGAAUUUGCCUGUGAAGCUGUCUACUCCUGCACUUUUGUUGGGAGUUUUUCCUUUUUUUUUGUAGGGCUACACAGGUGGCUUAUGGAGGUUCCCAGGCUAGGGGUUGAAUUGGAGCUGCAGCUGUCGGCUUACACCACAGCCACAGCCACAGCAACAUGGGAUCUGAGCAGGAUCUGCAACCUACACCACAGCUCAUGGCAAUGCUAGAUCCCCAACGCACUGAACAAGGCCAGGGACCUAAUCCGCAUCCUCAUGGAUACUAGUCAGGUUCCUUACCACUGAGCCACAACAGGAAUGGGAGUUUUUAAAUCACAAAUUCAGUUUCAUUGUUUGCAAUUGCUAUGUUCAUAUCUUCAAUUUCUUUCUUGUUCAGUCUUGGGAGAUUGUACCUUUCUAAGAAAUUGUCUAUUUCUUCUAAGUUGUUGAUCCUAUUGGCUUAUUGUUGCUUAUGGUCCUAUGUAUUUUUGUAAUGUCAGGUUUAACUUCUUUUUCAUUUCUAAUUGUAUUGAUUUGGGCUCUCUCACUUUUUUUUCUUGUGUCUGGCUAAAGUUUUAUUGAUUUUGUUUAUCUUUUGAAAGAACCAGCUUUUAGUUUUGUUGAUCUCGUCUACUGUUUUUUAGUCAUUAUUUCUACUCCAAUCUUUGUAAUGUCUUUUCUUCUAUUAAUUUUGGAUUUUGUUUGUUCUUCCUUAUCUAGUUGCUUAGGUGUAAGGUUAGAUUUAGGUGUAAGGUUUGCUUGAGAUUUUUUUUAUUGAUUCUGGAGGUAAGCUUGUAUUGCUGUAAACUUUCCUUUUAGAACUGCUUUUGCUUUGUCCCAUAGGUUUUUGAUAAUCGUGGUUUCAUUUUCAUUUCUCCCUAGGUGUUUUUUUUAUUUCCUCUUUGAUCUUUACAGUGACCCAUUAGUUUUUUACUAGCAUAUUGUUUAGCCUCCAUGUGUUUGUGUUUUUCACAAUUAUUGUAGUUGAUUUUUAAUAUCACAAUGUUGUAGUCAGAAAAGGUACUUAAUAAAAUUUCAAUUUUCAUAAAUUUACUAAGGCUUGCUUUGUGGCCUAGCAUGGGACAUAUCCUUGAGAAUAAUCCAUGUGCACUUUGACAAGAAUGUGUAUCCUGGUGAUUUUGGAUGACAUGCUCUAUAAAUAUCAGUUAAGUCUAUCUGGUGUAAUGCAUUAUUUAAGGUCUUUGUUUCUUUAUUGCUUUUCUGUGUAGAUGAUCUGUCCAUUGAUGAUAAAGUCCCCCACUAUUGUUGUGUUACUGCCUAUCUCUCCUUUUAUGUCUGUUAACAUUUGCCUUUAUAUUGAGGUUUUCUUAUGUUGGGUGCAUACACAUUUAUACUUGUUCUAUCUUUUUCUUGGACCAAUUCAUUGAUCAUGAUGUAGUGUACUUCUUUGUCUCUUGUAAUAGUCCCUAUUUUAAAGUCUAUUUUGUCUGUUAUGAAUACUGCUACUCCAGCUUUAUUUUUAUUUCCAUUUACAUGGAAUACCUUCUUAUAUCUCCCCACUUUUAGUCUGUAUAUAUCUCUAGAACUGAAGUGGGUCUCUUGUAGCCGAAAAGCUGAAAGCAUGCCUCUAAGAUCAGGAACAAGACAAGGCAGUCCACUCUCAUCAUUUUUAUUCGAUAUAGAUGUGGAAGUCAUAGCCACAGCAAUUAGAAAGAAAAAGAAAUAAAAGGACUCCAAAUUGGAAAAGAAGUAAAAUUGUCACUGUUUGCAGAUGACAUGAUACUAUACAUAGAAAAUCCUAAAGACACUACCAUAAAACUAUUAGAGCUCAUCAAGGAAUGUGGUAAAGUUUCAGGAUAUGAAAUUAAUACACAGAAAUCUCUUACAUGCCUAUGUACUAACAAUGAAAGGUCAGAAAGAGAAAUUAAGGAAAAAUCCCAUUUACACUGCAUCAAAAAGAAUAAAACACUUAGGAAUAAACCUAGCUAAGGAGGAAAAAGACUUGUACCCCGAACACUAAAAUAGAAUGACAAAAGAAAUUGAAGACCAG